This is a long non-coding RNA of Stylophora pistillata, 177 nucleotides long. The record is from RefSeq and is a predicted model, not a curated record. Lineage: Eukaryota; Metazoa; Cnidaria; Anthozoa; Scleractinia; Pocilloporidae.
GUUUUCUGGUAGGCUGUUUUUUCAGCGAUGAUGGUGAUCAGAGCUUGUAGGGAGGAGUAUGAUACAGGCAUUCUUGAGAGCAUCUUGAGUUACCCAAGAAAGAAGUUCCCAGAUAUGACAUCUGACAGUGUGGUCAAAACAGCAUUAAGGAACAAAAUUACCUGUCUUGAUGCUAAG